Molecule: long non-coding RNA, 723 nt
Filed under: Homo sapiens (human)
Lineage: Eukaryota; Metazoa; Chordata; Mammalia; Primates; Hominidae
Description: HSALNT0274653
Source: RNAcentral
GGGAGCGGCUCUGGACAAUGAUGAGAAGGAAUCAGGCGGCUCGGGGCCACCUUGGCCCUGAUGGGAGCGGCUCUGGACAAUGAUGAGAAGGAAUCAGGCGGCUCGGGGCCACCUUGGCCCUGAUGGGAGCGGCUCUGGACAAUGAUGAGAAGGAAUCAGGCGGCUCGGGGCCACCUUGGCCCUGAUGGGAGCGGCUCUGGACAGUGAUGAGAAGGAAUCAGGCGGCUCGGGGCCACUGUGGCCCUGGUGAGAGCAGCUCUGGACAGUGAUGAGAAAGAAUCAGGCCUCCAGUUUAGGGACUCUGUUCCUGGUGAUCCCUGGGCUAAAGGACUAAUCAGGGGAAUCUCAGUAUUUUCCCUGACACGUAAGUCACUGAGGAGGGCGGUGGCACGGUCACAGCAGUGCAAUGUGCCUCCCUGUCACCUGAGAGGUCACCCAGGGCCUCACCUGCCUGCUUCUCCAAGGCCUCCCUCCCUGGCCAGCCCCAAAGGAAGAGGAAGAAUCACAAAGAGCCUGGGGCUGGCUGGAAUUUUCUCCCGUGCAGUCGUCCAGCCUCCCGUGGCAGGGAGCGGCAUCUCAGUGUGCGAAGCCCUUUGUAUACUUCCCUGGAAUGUGGCUUUUAUUUUGUAACAAAGCAAAUGUUUUACUGCUGGUUUUCCUUUAACAAAUAAAUAUUGGCUCCAACACAUGUCAGAGAAAGUCGACAACAAUAAACCCAAGUGU